UAAAGAAAAUAUUUUAUUCAAUUUUGUUAUGUAAAAUUGUCUAUUGUUUGUCUACCUGAAGUGUUAUAAAGAAAAUAUAUUUAUCACUUCAGGUCCCAUUUGACUCGACCCGUCAGGCCCUAUCACUAUAGUUCUAUGUGUCACCAUUUCUGGUCUGAAUCAAGUGUACUGCGGUUCUCUAUCACUUUUCUUAAGCGCUGAUGCAUGACACUUCCACGAUAUAUCUCAUAGAAUACGUAAUAAUAAAACAAUCCACGUUAAAACUAUAGGGUAGGGUUCUAUCAGGUGACACACAACAAAUCAACAAUCUGUAACAAACAGAAAAUAUAUGAAAAUAGAUCAUUUUAAUCACUAUUUCUAAUUCAAUACAUAAUUUUUGGUGUGAUCUGAAUAAAAAAUAGUAUUUUGUAUAGUGAUCAGAUGUAAGUUAAUAACUCAUAUGUAUUGUUCUAAUAUAGUUGAGACAUAAUAGUUUGACUGUUUCUAUAAACAACUAAAAAAAAGUUAAACAAUAAUAUGAUUACCUAACAAUAAUUAGAAAAAAACGAGUCAAACAAAUCUAACCAAUUUUUAUGGAUCUCCAUGCAAGACGCAUUGCUAGUUUACAUACUUCUAUCUAUAAAUUAAUCUAAAUAAAAAUUACACCAAAAAUGAGUAAACGUAUAAUAUUCAAAAGAAUAAUAAUAAACGUGUUUGUAUCGUAAGAAUAAUAUGUCGUCAUCACAGUUCGCUAUCUUUUGCAUCAUCUUGACUGCUUUAUUCUCUCUUCAUGAAUUUGUCGAUGGCCAAAACGAUUGCAGGCAAAUAAUAUGCCCAGUCGCCCAAAAACAUUUACGCAAAUGUAUUUGUUGUUUGGUCCCCAACGCUAUUACUGAGCCCAAGUGUUACUCGAAGAAACAAGACUGUAUGCGCAAUUGCAACAUAUUAUAAGUUAUCUCGAGGACUUACAUCAAUGAUUUAAAACAAAUUAUGAAUAACCUUUUUAUUUAAUAACUCCUAUAUUUACCUUCGUUUUAUAUGAAUAAUACAAGCUUAUUUGGAGCCCAACAAAUAUAAUUAUGCCUAUUGUACGUAAUGCACACUAGUUAAACCUAUUUUCUACCUUUUCUUUUGGAUUUUCUAUUAGUUUCUAAAAAAUAUUUUUUCUGGAUAAUAACUAAAUAUAAGUUUUAUAACUUCAGAUGUCUUUAAUAGUAAAUUGUAUAAUUUAUCUAUGUUUUUCUACACCGAAUCAAUACCUCUUGUGGGUAAAGAAAAAAAUAAAAAAAUAAAAAAUAUAAUUUUUUUAA
This is a long non-coding RNA of Brassica napus (rape), 1289 nucleotides long. RefSeq lists it as uncharacterized. NCBI's taxonomy places the organism in Eukaryota, Viridiplantae, Streptophyta, Magnoliopsida, Brassicales, Brassicaceae. The record is from RefSeq and is a predicted model, not a curated record. The transcript has 2 exons.